RNAcentral lists this ribosomal RNA (484 nucleotides) under uncultured bacterium. RNAcentral describes it as "partial 16S ribosomal RNA". It matches the Rfam family "Bacterial small subunit ribosomal RNA", at positions 28 to 523 of the family's 1533-position model. The record is from RNAcentral.
GACGAACGCUGGCGGCGUGCUUAACACAUGCAAGUCGAACGAUGAUGCUGGAGCUUGCUCCAGUUGAUUAGUGGCGAACGGGUGAGUAACACGUGAGCAAUCUGCCCUUGACUCUGGGAUAACUGCGGGAAACUGUAGCUAAUACCGGAUACUUUCACCGGAAGGCAUCUUUUGGUGAUGAAAGAAUUUCGGUCAGGGAUGAGCUCGCGGCCUAUCAGCUUGUUGGUGAGGUAACGGCUCACCAAGGCGACGACGGGUAACCGGCCUGAGAGGGUGAUCGGUCACACUGGGACUGAGACACGGCACAGACUCCUACGGGAGGCAGCAGUGGGGAAUAUUGCACAAGGGGCGCAAGCCUGAUGCAGCAACGCCGCGUGAGGGAUGAAGGCCUUCGGGUUGUAAACCUAUUUCAGUAAGGACGAAGCGAAAGUGACGGUACCUAAAGAAGAAGCACCGGCUAACUACGUGCCAGCCGCCGCCGUAA